UCUAAAUUUUAUUUUAGUUUAAAAAGUUAGAAAUUACAUUAAAUGUAUAUAAAUUUAAAAUUUAACAAAUUUAAAAAUUUAACAUUUAAAAUUUAAAAUAUAGAGCAAUCUAUUAAAAGAAUUUAUAUUGAUUCUAACCAAUUAGGUGCCAGCAGUUGCGGUUAAACCUAAAGUUAACUAACUGGAUAUUUAAAUGCAUUAUAUUGAGUGUGUAAGAUACUAGUAAAAUAAAUUAUAAGUAAGUGAAAUUUUUAAAAUUUAUAACAUCUUGACAAUAAAAAUUUAAUUUUCUAUUAAAAACUAGGAUUAGAUACCCUACUAUUUAGAAUAACUAUAAUUAAAGUAGUAAAAGAAAAUCUUCAAACUUAAAAGAUUUGGCGGUAGUUUAACCUAACUAGAGGAAUCUGCUCUAUAAUUGACAAUCCACAAUCUGUUACAUUUUAUAUAAGUAUAUUUAUAUAUCGCUGUUAAACAUAAAUUUAAAAAUGAUAUUUAAAAUUUGUUUAAACUCACAAAAUCAAGUCAACACAUAAUUUUUAAAAAUGAAGUGGAUUACAUUUAAAUUAGAUUAAUAGUUCAAUUCUGCAAAUAGGGUUUUUAAAAAGGAUUUAGAAGUAAAUUAAAAUUAAGUUUUUUAAUUAAAUCUGACAUAAACUAUGUACAAAUCGCCCGUCACUCUUAUAUAAAUUAAGAUAAGUCGUAACAAAGUAAGAUUACUGGAAAGUAAUAUUAGAUU
RNAcentral lists this non-coding RNA (736 nucleotides) under Bemisia tabaci. The record is from RNAcentral. Lineage: Eukaryota; Metazoa; Arthropoda; Insecta; Hemiptera; Aleyrodidae.